ACGCUCGACACCUACGGGAGGUAGCAGUGGGGAAUAUUGCACAAUGGGGGAAACCCUGAUGCAGCGACGCCGCGUGAGCGAAGAAGUAUUUCGGUAUGUAAAGCUCUAUCAGCAGGGAAGAAACUGACGGUACCUGACUAAGAAGCACCGGCUAAAUACGUGCCAGCAGUCGCGGUAAUCUGAGCGGGCUGGCAAGGC
RNAcentral lists this ribosomal RNA (198 nucleotides) under uncultured bacterium. RNAcentral's name for it is "partial 16S ribosomal RNA". It matches the Rfam family "Bacterial small subunit ribosomal RNA", at positions 328 to 539 of the family's 1533-position model. The record is from RNAcentral.